Molecule: long non-coding RNA, 242 nt
Filed under: Pan troglodytes (chimpanzee)
Lineage: Eukaryota; Metazoa; Chordata; Mammalia; Primates; Hominidae
Description: lncRNA (ENSPTRG00000053082.1)
Source: RNAcentral
GAAGAGACUGUCCAGGAUGAUUUUGGGAGCUUCUGAUCUUUUGAGAUUACCUGAUAUUGCUUGUGUAGAUGAACGUAUUGACACCAGAUCAUCUAAAGGAAAGGCAAGACAAGAGCUAACUGUGAGGAGAAUUGAAGAAAUGUGUUGUGAAAAAAAGAGCACUUAAAAAAAGUUAUUAUUAUGUUAGAAUGGAAUGGAAUGGAAUGGAGGUAAGGGACUAUAGCUUGCCAUAAAUGAGUAAU